UCAGAACGAACGCUGGCGGCGCGUUUAAGCAUGCAAGUCGAACGGUAACUGUCCUUCGGGACAGCUAGAGUGGCGGACGGGUGAGUAACACGUAGGUGAUCUGCCCUUGAGUUGGGGAUAGCCCAUGGAAACAUGGGGUAAUACCGAAUACGCUCCGGAUGCUAUGGCAACUGGAGGAAAAGCGCUUCGGCGCUGCUCGAGGAUGAGCCUGCGGCUGAUUAGUUAGUUGGUGGGGUAACGGCCUACCAAGGCGACGAUCAGUAGCCGGCCUGAGAGGGUGAACGGCCACACUGGGACUGAGAUACGGCCCAGACUCCUACGGGAGGCAGCAGCUAAGAAUCUUCUGCAAUGGACGAAAGUCUGACAGAGCGACGCCGCGUGGGUGAAGAAGGCCGGAAGGUUGUAAAACCCUUUUCUAUUCGAGGAAUAAUCGCAGGAGGCAAUGCCUGCGAGAUGACGGUAGGGUAGGAAUAAGCCCCGGCCAAUUACGUGCCAGCAGCCGCGGUAACACGUAUGGGGCGAGCGUUGUUCGGAAUCAUUGGGCGUAAAGGGCGCGUAGGCGGAUAUGCAAGCUUGGUGUGAAAGACCGCAGCUCAACUGCGGGACCGCGCUGAGAACUGCAUGUCUAGAGUUCAAGAGGGGAAGCUGGAAUUCCAGGUGUAGGGGUGAAAUCUGUAGAGAUCUGGAAGAACAUCAGUGGCGAAGGCGAGCUUCUGGCUAUGAACUGACGCUGAGGCGCGAAAGCGUGGGGAGCAAACAGGAUUAGAUACCCUGGUAGUCCACGCUGUAAACGAUGUGCACUAGGUGUUGGGCCGCUGAAGGCUCAGUGCCGUAGCUAACGCGUUAAGUGCACCGCCUGGGGAGUAUGCUCGCAAGAGUGA
This 881-nucleotide ribosomal RNA is filed under the name uncultured organism. RNAcentral's name for it is "bacterial SSU rRNA". It matches the Rfam family "Bacterial small subunit ribosomal RNA", at positions 24 to 897 of the family's 1533-position model. The record is from RNAcentral.